UCCUCCUCUGCAGCUGCUUAUAAUGACCUGCUUUGGUGAGUCUCCAUCCAUCCUGAACUCCCAUGGGCACCAGGCUCCUUUUCUAUGUGGGCUUCUGUCUCCUGGGAGCAGACCACGCCCAUCCUGGAGUCUCCCAGUCCCCCAGGCACAGGGUCACAAAGAGAGGAAAGAAUGUAGUUCUCAGGUGUGAUCCAAUUUCUGGACACAGUGGCCUUCAGUGGUACCAACAGACUACGGGGCAAGACCUGGAGUUCCUGAUGUCUUUCCAGUAUGAAUGUGCAGCAGAUGAGUCAGGGAUGCGCAGUGAGCGGUUCUCUGCUGAGAGGCCACAGGGAUCCUUCUCCACACUGGAAACCAAGCUCACAGAGCCUGGGGACUCGGCUGUGUACCUCUGUGCCAGCAGCUCAGCCACAGUGUAGCACAAGCUCCUCCUUCCUGAUCACAAAACUCAUCCUUCUCUCUCUUUGCAGCUCUGAGACACCUAGUGUUCUUUCUUUGCUCUUCAACCUUCAAGGGAAGGUGGUGGACUAGGAUGUCAGCUGGCCUUUGAGUAGAAAGAGGUCACAGAAGGACUUCCAAGGAUGGGCAGGAUUGGGUUUCUGAGAUUCCUUUCAUUUUGUAGCAUUUGCUUUGCCUUCUGUUUCAUCCUGCGUUCUCAUCCAUCUGGAGGGCAAUGCCUCUGGAUUUGCUUAUGGCUCUUGGGGAGGUUUCUGUGGUUCCCUUGGAUCCAGAAGUCAGUCAUUUCAAUAGCUCAGCUCUCCCCCCCCCCCAUAGGCAGCCAGGACAGUGAGACACACAGCAGAGCUUGUGCAGCUUUCAGAGCAUCACGUUAGGCAUCCUAGAAUGAGGGGUCAUCGAAGGGCAGUUGUCCACACCUAACUCUUUUAGUCCAGUUUAAAAGCUACAUGAACAAAGGUCAUGUGAUCUGCCCAUAUGAGAGGUCUCUGUCAUUAUGAGCUGAUUUCAAAGAUGGGGAAAAUCAUUCUCAUCAAGAUGGUUCUCAACAUGAAUGGAAUAGGGAGUUGUGUCAGGGAAACCCUAGGACAAUCAAGGACUUGGAGCAAUUCUAACUCAGCGUGGAGCCAGGGACUCAGGCGCAGAUGCUUGGAACUGGAGACAGUUCUUUGGGUGACAUAGCAGACCUGGAAUGAGCUCUAUUAUCCAGCACAGAGUCUCCUGGCAUUGCACCAACAUGCCUUUAGCUCCCUCCACUCCUCUUUUAUUUCCAGAACCAUCUCUCCCUCACAGAUGCUCCCAUCAGCAGGUGUGCAUUGUCCAAGUCCUUCUUGGUGUAGGAUGCCCUUGGUCCCCCUUCCCUCUGCCCACCACUGCCUUCCCCAUGAGAUACUGUUCCGUACAUGAUUGUAGCCUUAAGGUUAGCCCACAUUUUCUUACAUUCUAAUUCUACUUUUCAUUCACCCAUUUAACUUUGUCUUGAAGUUGACCUCAUUACAUGCCCAGGUCUUUGCUCAUAUAUACUUUUGAAUUAACAGUGACAGGCAUUGGUUGUGGUGGUUUGGAUUUCUUGACAUUUUUUAUUUAUCUUGAGUAAUAGAGUAAAGAAACUUACACUUCAAUUCCUGUGUUUUCUUACUAAUAGUUUUACACUAUAUAUUAUUUCCUGUCAUUCCUCUCAUUUUAUUUCUCUGCAUUUAGAAGACAAUUUGAAGGGUGAAGAUCUCAGAUCAAAACUGCCAUGUCUGUGAGUGAAGACUGAUGGUGUUUUAUGAAGCGUGGCAACUGAAAGAAAUAGUCAGAAUUAGUAUCAGCGUUGGGAUUAGGGUUUAAGGAAGUUGAUCCUAAAACUUCCAUUACUACUUGUGGAAUUCUAUCCUAAUUUUGGAGUGGACGCUUUAUCACUGCCUGGCCACAAGAUGGCACUGUGAGGCCAUUGGGCUCCAGUGAUCUCAGGAAGAGUCUGAGAGAGCAGCCUAGGAAGAGAAGGGUUAAGAACAUCCUGGACUUGGGUCCCACAUCAGGUUGGUGUUGAGAAGUUUUCAGUUAUUAUUCAGCUACCUACAUCGCUGGGAGGGGUAGGAGGUCCCUCUAAGCUGAGAUGCACAGUUGAAGAAUGUGGGCAGGACAGCUGCAGGUGUCCAGGCAGCUACAGAUGGAGCACAAACUGCCCCAGAGGGAGGAGGGAAACCACAAGUGGGGGUGCCCCAACUCAGUGCACUGCUGCCACACCCACCGUCCCCCAGUUCUUGCUAAGCAGCAGCAUCCAUGAGUGGAGUGUUUGAUUUGCCUGAGCCAGUGGGGAGGCCCCUGGGCCAGGGAGAACCCACAGGGUGUGGAGGAGUGGCAUGAGGGCCCCACCUCUCAGGUGCCUGGAGAGGAGCCUCAGAGCCCCAGCUGUCAUCCUGUGGUCACAGCAUUAGCUGGGAGAGCUCCUUUCCAUGGGGACCUGCAUGAACCCCAGACUCUUCUGUGUGACGCUUUGUCUCCUGGGAACCGGCCUCAUGGACGCUGUGAUCACCCAGAGGCCCCGACACCUUAUCUACACAUGGGAAAAAAGACAAUCCUGGAGUGUUCUCAGAACCUGAACCAUUAUGCAAUGUUCUGGUACCGACAAGACCCAGGACAGGGGCUGAGGCUGCUGCACUACUCAGGCAGUGUUGGCAGCACAGCUGAAGGAGAAGCCUCCCAAGGGUCCAGUGCCUCCAGGGAUCAGAAGGAGCAUUUCCCCCUGACCCUGGAGUCCCCCAGCACCAGCCAGUCCUCCCUGUACCUCUGUGCCAGCAGCGAAGCCACAGCAGGGCACAGCCAGCUGCUCUCUGCACAAGAAGCGCAGCCACAGGGUUCAGGUGGACUCUCCUUCCAGAGCCCCUGCCUCAGCCAGCAGAGAACAUUGUUCUGAACCCCUCCAAGACUGCCAGCCUCAGCCCCUGGGCCUUGUACAGCAUGGAUAUGAGAGCUAGGUUCACGUGUGUGUGUGUGUGUGUGUGUGUUGUCCUGACAUACAAAUAACAUUCAAUGUCACUUUUCUCAACUGAGGAUUCUAGUAAUUGAUUCAAGGAGAGAAAAUCACUUCAACAUGAAAUUUGGAUUAUAUUUUCUUUUCCAGGGAGAAGAACAAUGCAGAUAAUCUAGGAUUUUCUUAGUUUACUUCCAUUGCAGAAAGUCACUUUUAAUUCCAUUAGAUCCCAAGCAAACAUACCCUGUUAAAUAAAUCUCAUUAACAAGUUUUAAAACACACCCAUAAACUAUCCAGAGAGGGGAAAUGAUGUUAGAGGCACCAAAAUACCAUUAGAUCUGAAGAAAAUACAUUAGGAGAAUUAUAAAAAAAAAAAGAGAGACAAUAAACGAAGUCUUCACAGAACUGUGUUGAAUCUUAUGGUAGUUUGAAAUAGGACCUUGGUUCUUCAUUGUGUUGGCUGGGAUUAAAAUCCAUGAUCACCUUAAUGUUCUUCUUACAAAGUAUUACAGCAUAAUAUUGGACAACCAUUUUAUCUUCCUCCAGCCCAUCUUCCUCCUUGGGACCUGCAGAACAGGUCCACACACAUAAGCAUGAUUUCUAAACUGGGACCCAUUUUCUGCAUGACCAUGAGGCUUACAGCUGGGAUUCUAAGAACACAGAAAACCCAAGUGUCUAUGGUGCACACUGUGCACCUCUAUGAGGCUGCCAGAGGCGUGCACCUGCUCACCCAGGGCCCUGUGUGUGAAGAGGGGAGCAGGCAGCUUGUUGGUAAAAUGUCAGUUUACAGAUGAUGAAUGGAUGAAAGCUCAGAUGAAUGAUUGAUUGGUGAGACUGAUGGAGACUGGUUCCCCAAGUUUUGACACUUCGAGCAAUUUAUGAAUGAGUCCAGCAGCCUUGUGGAUUUUUUCCUAAGUUUCUGUUAGUCUACAACUUUAAUUCAGCAAUCAAUGCUCAGAUGUUUUUUUUCUCCAACUUGUUAAUGUGGCUUAUUUUGAUGCUAAAUUUUUAUGUUGUAUAUUUCAUUCCUGAACACUUUUAUAGUCUAAGUA
This is a long non-coding RNA of Marmota monax (woodchuck), 3966 nucleotides long. RefSeq lists it as uncharacterized. NCBI's taxonomy places the organism in Eukaryota, Metazoa, Chordata, Mammalia, Rodentia, Sciuridae. The transcript is spliced from 3 exons. The record is from RefSeq and is a predicted model, not a curated record.